This 1006-nucleotide ribosomal RNA is filed under the name marine metagenome. Its description in RNAcentral is "bacterial SSU rRNA". It matches the Rfam family "Bacterial small subunit ribosomal RNA", at positions 246 to 1270 of the family's 1533-position model. The record is from RNAcentral.
UUGUUGGUGGGGUAAUGGCCUACCAAGACUUUGAUCAAUAGCUGAUUUGAGAGGAUGAUCAGCCACAUUGGGACUGAGACACGGCCCAAACUCCUACGGGAGGCAGCAGUGGGGAAUCUUGCACAAUGGAGGAAACUCUGAUGCAGCGAUGCCGCGUGAGUGAAGAAGGCCCUUGGGUUGUAAAGCUCUUUCGUCGGGGAAGAAAAUGACUGUACCCGAAUAAGAAGGUCCGGCUAACUUCGUGCCAGCAGCCGCGGUAAUACGAAGGGACCUAGCGUAGUUCGGAAUUACUGGGCUUAAAGAGUUCGUAGGUGGUUGAAAAAGUUGGUGGUGAAAUCCCAGAGCUUAACUCUGGAACUGCCAUCAAAACUUUUCAGCUAGAGUAUGAUAGAGGAAAGCAGAAUUUCUAGUGUAGAGGUGAAAUUCGUAGAUAUUAGAAAGAAUACCAAUUGCGAAGGCAGCUUUCUGGAUCAUUACUGACACUGAGGAACGAAAGCAUGGGUAGCGAAGAGGAUUAGAUACCCUCGUAGUCCAUGCCGUAAACGAUGUGUGUUAGACGUUGGAAAUUUAUUUUCAGUGUCGCAGCGAAAGCGAUAAACACACCGCCUGGGGAGUACGACCGCAAGGUUAAAACUCAAAUGAAUUGACGGGGACCCGCACAAGUAGUGGAGCAUGUGGUUUAAUUCGAAGAUACGCGCAGAACCUUACCAACACUUGACAUGUUCGUCGCGACUCUAAGAGAUUAGAGUUUUCGGUUCGGCCGGACGAAACACAGGUGCUGCAUGGCUGUCGUCAGCUCGUGUCGUGAGAUGUUGGGUUAAGUCCCGCAACGAGCGCAACCCUCACUUUUAGUUGCCAUCAUUAAGUUGGGCACUCUGAAAGAACUGCCAGUGAUAAGCUGGAGGAAGGUGGGGAUGACGUCAAGUCCUCAUGGCCCUUACGUGUUGGGCUACACACGUGCUACAAUGGUAUCUACAACAGGAAGCAAGACGGCGACGUCAAGCAA